CAGAUAUUAGUUUAUUAAAAUUUUAAUUUUGGAGAUUAAAGAUAAAAAAAAUUUUUAUAUCUGA
Molecule: transfer RNA, 64 nt
Filed under: Macrima straminea
Lineage: Eukaryota; Metazoa; Arthropoda; Insecta; Coleoptera; Chrysomelidae
Description: tRNA-Pro
Source: RNAcentral